Molecule: long non-coding RNA, 3538 nt
Organism: Oncorhynchus kisutch (coho salmon)
Lineage: Eukaryota; Metazoa; Chordata; Actinopteri; Salmoniformes; Salmonidae
Exons: 9
Source: RefSeq, a predicted model, not a curated record
UCCCCUUCCUGUUUGGGUGGCGCUCGGCGGUCGUCGCCACCGGCCUACUAGCUGCCACUGAUCUUUUUCUCCCCCUACUUGUCUGUUUAUUAGUUCCACCUGUGUUUAGUUAGGUUAACUAGUUGGGCUUUAUUAUCCAGCCGGCCCGCCUGCUGGGUGUGCGAGAUUGUUUUAUGUGUACACGCCUGUAAGUCACGUUGUUCGUGUGUUGUUCGGGACUGUUUAGUUCCCCUGUGUUUUAGGGCAUUUGUUUGAGUGGCGUCGUGUUCACCUGCGUGGUGAAUAAAGAAGUAUCGCUACUCUGUUCCCUGCGUCUGACUUCUUCCUCCACUACACCCCAGGCAUUACACAACUUAAGCAGAAGUCCAGGGAAAUGAGCUUGCGCAAAGAGCUGGAUGCGGCACGGGUGGCAUUUGAGGAGGCUCUUCCAGAAAGCUAUCGCACAGCAUUACAAUUUCAACAUGUAGAUGUAAGUGAUAUUUCUUCCCAUUUCCCCAGUAUAUUUUCAGGACAGUUGAAUUGUGGGUACAUACCACAAUGUUGUUGUGUUGUAAUUUUAUUCACAGACGGAUUCCCAUACUAUGUUUGUUUUGAAUAAAUCCUUUAUGAUCAGAAGGAGCGAGCUGCAAAGUGACAGUCACCUGAUCCUGCCACUAGCCUUGCCCCUGUCCAAUGGAUAGAGAGGGACAACAGAUGCAACAUAAUUCACCUGCUCCUGCCACUAGCCUUGCUAUUGUUAUGUACAGAUGUUUGUUAAUUAUUUAUUUAUUUUUAUUUCACCUUUAUUUAAUUCUUAUUCUUAUCUUACUUUUUUUUAAAGCAUUUUCUUAAAACUGAAUUGUUAAGGACUUGUAAGUAAGCAUUUCAAUGUAAGGUGGCAAAUACAAUUUGAUUUGAUUCAAGUUAAGAAAAAUGUGAAUCGCCUGGAGGGGCCGAGGAGAGGUUGGGGAAACCCUGUCCUAAUGAAACCAGAUGCCAGGAGUCAGUCUGAACAGACACGACUCCCUCAGUUCAGAAAACACAAUCUGUGCUUCUCGACCAGAAAUCCCUCACGCCUGAACAGGACAAGCUUCUGACCCUCAUACACUAUCCAGCUCCUGCUCGUCAAAGUAGCUAAAUGGUAGGAGGGUGUUUUGACCUGAGAUAGGCUUGACGCCAGGUCACAUGACCCUAAGGAAAUCACCCUACACACAGCAACCCCCAGAGAGUAAGUGCCUCACCAAGGCUAGUCAUUCAACUGGUCAGGCAGAAUGACUAACUUGUUAGAACAUUUCUAAAUAGUACUAAAUGCAGUUGUAAUAUAAUGACCAUUUGUAGCUGGCUCACUGGCUUUCACUUCAAUGUGGGUUUAAAUACAAUGUGGUGCUAUAAAAGUUUCAGAUCCUCAGAUUGGCUGUAACCUAAUCCUCUGUCUGAUUGGCUGUAACCUAAUCCUCUGUCUGAUUGGCUGUAACCUAAUCUUCUGUCUGAUUGAAUGUAACCUAAUCCUCUGUCUGAUUGGCUGUAACCUAAUCCUCUGUCUGAUUGGCUGUAACCUACUCCUCUGUCUGAUUGAAUAUAACCUAAUCCGCUGUCUGAUUGGCUGUAACCUAAUCCUCUGUCUGAUUGGCUGUAACCUAAUCCUCUGUCUGAUUGGCUGUAACCUAAUCCUCUGUCUGAUUGGCUGUAACCUAAUCCUCUGUCUGAUUGGCUGUAACCUAAUCCUCUGUCUGAUUGGCUGUAACCUACUCCUCUGUCUGAUUGGCUGUAACCUAAUCCUCUUUCUGAUUGGCUGUAACCUAAUCCUCUUUCUGAUUGGCUGUAACCUAAUCCUCUGUCUGAUUGAAUAUAACCUAAUCCUCUGUCUGAUUGGCUGUAACCUAAUCCUCUGUCUGAUUGAAUAUAACCUAAUCCUCUGUCUGAUUGGCUGUAACCUAAUCCUCUGUCUGAUUGGCUGUAACCUAAUCCUCUGUCUGAUUGGCUUUAACCGGGACCUCUUCAAGUCCUUUGAAGUCAUGAAGGUGUUGUUUCCAGGAUGCUCCCGUCAUUUGUGGGAAUGCUUGACGGAAGAACAAAGCACUUUGGCAGGAGUGGAAAGAUAUGUGGCGCCACAUUCCAGAAGGCAUUCCACGAGUGAACGUAUGGGCUGUUUGAAAUAGACACUCUUUGUGAAAGCGUUCACCUCCAUGGUCCUGCCUGCUCACAGGAGAUGCAUGCUGUCAGUUGGAUGGGACUUGCAAUCAAUACCACUUCCGGAAAGCCUCAGGCAAUCAGCCUGGUGCCGGCACCACAACCGGGGGAGAUGUCCAUCAGGUGAAUAGUUUUAUAUCCAGAGCUGCUGUCACGACAAAGUGCAUGUCCAAGGCUGUGCAUUAUGAUAAGUAAUCCUGAAGAAGGUUGAGGAUUACAACAUAAUUCCCUUAAUAAGCUGACAGUGAAGGACAUUUCCUUUUGAGUGUAACUGAUGAUGCUACAAUAAUGUUCGUAUGGACAGACAUUCACACCACUGGCAGUGGGCUGGAAUAAGAGGAAGUUCACCAACAUGGAUUGUAUGUUGGCAAAAAGAUAUGUGAAGAACGUCAGAAGACUGAAGGAGGAGACCAGCCUCCUUGAAGCAAAGCAGAGUUGGACAUCAAUGACACUGUGCUUCAGGAGUGGCCUGAAGACGACAACAAGAGGAGGCAUCAGAUGACGAGAGAACUGGAUGAGAACAAGCAGCCUUGACAGCUGCCAUCGUUCAACUUCACGAGCAGCAGACAGAGUUUAGGCUCCCAACAGUGGAGGAGCUGCUCAAUACUGACAACUUUGUGUGGCCUCGAGAGAGAGACUUGGCACCAGUAAGAAACAUGAUUGCAGAAGACUGAUGGUGAACAGACUGCAGGAGGAAGAGAAGGUCCUGGUGCAGGAGAGGAGGCACUAGGGGAGCGUACAAAGAGCAGUAGGAUCCCUGGAGGCACUGUCCCUACAGCUGCAAGAUCAGAGGAAGUUGAGGCAGUGGGCACAAAACCAAGUCAACAGCAGGAACAGCUAUCACAAGCUGAUUCUGGGAGAAGGGGAUAUUUCUGACGACUGAUGAAGAUGAGAACUCAGAUGAAGAUAGAUGUCCUAUUGCUGAGAGCUCAGACGAUGCCUGCUAUGUUUUCUGAAAUCAUACACCUCCCCUGCCUCUUUCUCUCGGUCUCUCUCCCGCAGAAGAGGGAGAAGGUCACCACCACCUCCCUUUUGAGAAGCCUGGUCUCCUGAUGUUAACCCCCUAACCCCUCACCUUCUGAACUCAUCCAGGUCAAUGUAAUUUGCCUGAUGACUCGCUAGUGGAGAAGGAACGUGUCAUUUGAGCGCAUUUGUUCCCAUGCUUCCUCUCCUCUGUUUCUUCCGGUCCUAGACUACGGCGACAUCAUCAGCAACUCAGACAGUUUGUUGCGGACCUCUUUACUAAGGAAUGUGGUUGGUUUAUUUUCUUGGAGUAUUUACUAUGCUGCUGUGACUUAGAUGUUUGCAAAAUAAUCCUUGGUCUCAAUGAGACUGCUAAAAUAAAUAAAUAAAGAUCUUAAUAAAUAAA